RNAcentral lists this ribosomal RNA (800 nucleotides) under uncultured bacterium. RNAcentral describes it as "bacterial SSU rRNA". It matches the Rfam family "Bacterial small subunit ribosomal RNA", at positions 89 to 884 of the family's 1533-position model. The record is from RNAcentral.
CGGCGAGUGGCGAACGGGUGAGUAAUGCAUCGGAACGUACCCAGUAGUGGGGGAUAACUUACCGAAAGGUAAGCUAAUACCGCAUACGCACUGAGGUGGAAAGCAGGGGACCGCAAGGCCUUGCGCUAUUGGAGCGGCCGAUGUCGGAUUAGCUAGUUGGUGGGGUAAAGGCCUACCAAGGCGACGAUCCGUAGCGGGUCUGAGAGGAUGAUCCGCCACACUGGAACUGAGACACGGUCCAGACUCCUACGGGAGGCAGCAGUGGGGAAUUUUGGACAAUGGGCGCAAGCCUGAUCCAGCCAUGCCGCGUGAGUGAAGAAGGCCUUCGGGUUGUAAAGCUCUUUCGGCCGGGAAGAAAUCGUGGUGGCUAAUACCUGCCAUGGAUGACGGUACCGGACUAAGAAGCACCGGCUAACUACGUGCCAGCAGCCGCGGUAAUACGUAGGGUGCGAGCGUUAAUCGGAAUUACUGGGCGUAAAGCGUGCGCAGGCGGUUGUGUAAGACAGGCGUGAAAUCCCCGGGCUCAACCUGGGAACUGCGCUUGUGACUGCACGGCUAGAGUACGGCAGAGGGGGGUGGAAUUCCACGUGUAGCAGUGAAAUGCGUAGAGAUGUGGAGGAACACCGAUGGCGAAGGCAGCCCCCUGGGUCGAUACUGACGCUCAUGCACGAAAGCGUGGGGAGCAAACAGGAUUAGAUACCCUGGUAGUCCACGCCCUAAACGAUGUCGACUAGUUGUUGGAGGGGUAAAACCCUUUAGUAACGUAGCUAACGCGUGAAGUCGACCGCCUGGGGAGUACG